Molecule: transfer RNA, 69 nt
Filed under: Eurhadina exclamationis
Lineage: Eukaryota; Metazoa; Arthropoda; Insecta; Hemiptera; Cicadellidae
Description: tRNA-Met
Rfam family: tRNA
About the family: Transfer RNA (tRNA) molecules are approximately 80 nucleotides in length. Their secondary structure includes four short double-helical elements and three loops (D, anti-codon, and T loops).
Source: RNAcentral
AAAAAGAUAAGCUAAGUAAGCUAUUAGGUUCAUACCCUAUGAAUAGAAGUUAAGAUCUUCUUCUUUUUA